Molecule: non-coding RNA, 28 nt
Filed under: Cricetulus griseus (Chinese hamster)
Lineage: Eukaryota; Metazoa; Chordata; Mammalia; Rodentia; Cricetidae
Source: RNAcentral
ACAUGAAGGCAGAGGGCAGGAAGAUCAG